UACGGAGGAUCCGAGCGUUAUCCGGAUUUAUUGGGUUUAAAGGGUGCGUAGGCGGACUGUUAAGUCAGCGGUAAAAGCCCGGGGCUCAACCGUGGAAUUGCAGUUGAAACUGGAGGCCUUGAGUGCACACAGGGAUGCCGGAAUUCAUGGUGUAGCGGUGAAAUGCAUAGAUAUCACGCAGAACUCCGAUUGCGAAGGCAGCAUACCGGCGCCCAACUGACGCUGAAGCACGAAAGCGUGGGUAUCGAACAGG
This 253-nucleotide ribosomal RNA is filed under the name uncultured Prevotellaceae bacterium. RNAcentral describes it as "partial 16S ribosomal RNA". It matches the Rfam family "Bacterial small subunit ribosomal RNA", at positions 524 to 776 of the family's 1533-position model. The record is from RNAcentral. Lineage: Bacteria; Pseudomonadati; Bacteroidota; Bacteroidia; Bacteroidales; Prevotellaceae.